GGAUUAAUGAGUUACCACGGGAGUGGGUCUGGUGGCUUUAUAAGAGGAAGAGAGACCUGAGCUAGCAUGCUCGGCCCCCUCAUCCCCUGUCCUACCUUGGGACUCUGCAGAGUCCUUGCCAGCAAGAAGGCUCUCACCUGUUAUGGCCCUGGACCUUGGACUUCUCAGCCUCCAUAACUCAGAAGCAAUGUAUGGGAGACUGAGUAAUCAGAUAUAAGCUCACAUCACUAUCUCUUCCACCACUGUCAUCCAUCAUGACCGAUCUGGGAGAUGAAACAGCACAGAUCUAAAGGACGCGAGAGACGUAGGGGCUGUGUUGACCAGGCUGGUCUCGAACUCUUGGCCUCAAGCCAUCCUCCCACCUCAGCCUCCCAAAGUGCUGGGAUUACAGGCUUGAGCCACCACAUCCAGCCUACCUAAAAUAUUGAAUGCUGUUAAUAAAUCUCCUGAGGCCAGCAUAAGAAGUUGAUGGGCAAAACUAAUGCAGGAGCUGAAAUCGACCGGGGUGUUCUUAUCCAACAGACAGCAGCAAAACUCUUUGUGUAUCUGCAUUCCUUUCAACAAAUGUGACUUCCUCAAUGGCAUCAUUCAUGAGCGUAACACAGAGCUCAGCAAUAACGUUUCUUCACUAACCCUACCAGGAAAAGAAGGGAAAAUGGCUUACUGGUUUAAAAAAGAGACAAGGGACAACAUACCGUUUAUGCAAAAUUUAGAAGCACUCAAAGGAAUCUCUGGAAAGUUCCUGAGACAUAUAUAGGGUUUCAAUUGUGCAAUUUCACCAUUAGCAAAGCUUUUUGCUGAAAUCUGGCUUUUCAAAGGGAGAGUAUCCAGAAACAGAAGAUGCUGAUCUGGGAGACUCUUCCUAAUAGAACUGCUGCUUCAGUUUAACUUGGAAAAGCCCACACCCAGUUCCUAAUGACAAACAUCUGAACACCGGGUCUUCCCACGAGCAAGACCAUGCUAUGCCUCCUGCUCAUUCUGUUCUAUAAGCAACCUACAGAUUGCUCCCUGUGAAGAGGAGCCUGCCAGGGGAGCAGCAUUCCACCAGACCCUGAUUUAGCAAGAUAUUUCUGUAUCAUUCCCCCAACCAGCUGGAAGUCCUCCACUGCUCUUGUGUGAAAAUCUAACUCAUCUCGCUGAAUUUCCUGAUUUAAAAGUCUAAUUCAUUUCACCAAAAGUGUGACAGAAGGAAACCAAGUACACCAUCUCUCCCUUACCAAACCAAAGCUAUUGCAUGUGCAUUCUGGGGGAAAAAAUGGUCCAAAUAUGCUAUGGAAGUGUUGCCAGACCAGUGUCAUCCUCUUAUUAUUGCCAUAGGACCUUGGCUGAUGGCAUCAGAGGAAAAACAAGUUUAUCGAUUACUUUCAGCCAUUAAGCUCACUCCUCCAUGAAAAAUAAGUCACAAGUCCAAUGUCUCUUAUUAAAAUAAGCACUGCAAAAUAUAAAGGAGUCACAGUUUUAAAAUGGGACACAAGUUCUCUAAGCAGUGAACCACUUUAGAGAUGCACUGUUUACAUUGUAUAAAGUCCCCUGGAGCCAGGGUUAGGAAGCGCAUCUGUUCUUUGGUGUUCUGGGAUGAAGGAGAAAGGAAAAAGGGCUGCCAGAAGUGAGUAGGAAGGAGCCCACGAGAUAAAGGAAGUAAAUCCAUUUGCUGAUUGCAAUAAUAAUGGUAAUACACGAAACUAUACAUACAUACAUACAUGCAAACUUUCACAUUUUUUAAAAAAAUAACUUAAGGCUUUCACACAUGUAAUCAGCCCUUUUGAACUCUCCCGAUUAGCUGCAAGGAAAAUCCUCCCUUCUCCUUUUUCUUGCACCAUCCUGGGCUCCCUUUUGACUUUUUUUUUUUUUUUUUAAACAUAUAAACGAUCAGCUCAUAUUCUGAAGUUAGUAGUCCCCCCCGCCCCCCCCCCCCACACCGCUCAUUUACAUUGGCAGCUGUCGUGCUGCUGGGCAUCCUCAAACCCACCAGUUUCCCUUUUAUGUUUGAGCAGACAAACAUGAUCAUGCACCAGGCAUCACUGUGCCAUUCAAAAUGCUUUUUUUUUUUAAUUGCAUCUGAGAGAAAUCUCAAUGUUGCAAACCUGGAGUCAGAAUUGUCUCCAUGUGUCUCAGUGGGAAGAGUAUCGUGUGAAGAAAUAAGUUGAUUCUACUAAUCAAAAGGAAUAUUUUUUUGAUAUCAGGUCAUCCUCCGAAUGAAUUUAUAUUACCUAGUGGAGGUUCACAUGAAGAAAAUGGUCAAAUAGCACCACCUACAGCAAGAGUUGAGAAGUGCAGCGGAGCCGGGCUGAGUCAGGAAAGAAAAGCAAGCUGGGGCCUGGCUCAGCGCUCUCCCCUCUGCUCCUGUCUGCACGGAAAGAUUAGGAUGACAGUGGCAGGAAGCCUGUGCACCUGGUAUGCAUCACUUGAAGGGAACACACAGAUUCCAGUAAACGGUUGGAAGGAAAUGUUAAUAUCAGGCUCUGCUAAACAAUAUGAAAUGACUCCUAGAUGAGACAAGUGACUUUCAUCAAAGUUUCCUGAUACCUGAAAAGAUAGCCCGGGGGAUCCUGCACUACAUCUGGUGUAUGUAAAUUAAGCGGUUUUUUUUUUCCCUUUGUAAUCAAGGCCCAUACACAAACAAAAUCACACUUUAGAAACGGC
Pongo pygmaeus (Bornean orangutan) is the source of this 2643-nucleotide long non-coding RNA. RefSeq lists it as uncharacterized. The transcript is spliced from 6 exons. The record is from RefSeq and is a predicted model, not a curated record. Lineage: Eukaryota; Metazoa; Chordata; Mammalia; Primates; Hominidae.